RNAcentral lists this ribosomal RNA (222 nucleotides) under uncultured microorganism. Its description in RNAcentral is "partial 16S ribosomal RNA". It matches the Rfam family "Bacterial small subunit ribosomal RNA", at positions 9 to 208 of the family's 1533-position model. The record is from RNAcentral.
GAGUUUGAUCCUGGCUCAGGAUGAACGCUGGCGGCGUGCCUAACACAUGCAAGUCGAACGGAGUUUAUGAGGAAGAAGUCUUCGGCGGAAUUCUUAUAAACUUAGUGGCGGACGGGUGAGUAACACGUGGAGAACCUGCCUCUUACCGGGGGACAGCAAGUUGGAAACGACUGACUAAUACCGCGAUAAGCGCACGAGACCGCAUGGUCCUGUGUGAAAAAG